Echinops telfairi (small Madagascar hedgehog) is the source of this 123-nucleotide small nucleolar RNA. RefSeq annotates it as small nucleolar RNA SNORA61. The transcript has a single exon. The record is from RefSeq and is a predicted model, not a curated record. Lineage: Eukaryota; Metazoa; Chordata; Mammalia; Afrosoricida; Tenrecidae.
UCCCUCCAGAUUCCUUAACCUUCAGACCUAAAUAUUGGUCUGAGUGGUUAUAAAAGGAGGAAAAAUAUCAUUGAAACUGACUUAAUUUCUUUUAUGACACACACAAACUAAUUUCAAACACAC